GGAAAAGAAGACCCAGACUUUGUUGAAAUAAUCUGCCUUUAAGCGCUGUGCUAGCAGGAAGGUCUGUGAAGUUUGCAAUAAAGCCAUUAUGAAGUCAAGAAUGGAGGUUCCAUUUUUAAAGAACUCAGAGGGGGUAGAUCUUGAUUGACAUCUCAUCUGGGGUCACCUGGUCUUCAACUGAGAGAUCUUUUGGUUCGCCACGGAUGCCCCUUGCAGUUAUGGAAGCUUCCCUGACCAGAGGUCGUUUUGAGUUUCCUUCUCUGGAAUUUGACCACUGAGCAGAGACACAUAGGAGAGAAGACGUGAAUGCUGAGUCAUCAAUCAGCAUCACUGGGAAGAAAAAGCCUCUCAGUUUCUUCUGCUGGGACUCCCAGAGCUGGAGUAUUUUCUGCUCUUCCUAAGGCCUGAAUCUCACCUUGUCACCCAGGCUGGAGUGCAAUGGCAUAAUCUCAGCUCACUGCAACCUCUGUCUCCCAGGCUCAAAUGAUUCUCCUGCCUCAGCCUCCUGAGUAGCUGGGAUUACAGGCGCCCAUGGACUACCAGCUUUUUAAGUAGACUUUUUAGCCAAAGGCCAAGGGAAACUACCCUCUUCCUACUGGGGUUCAAAUUGAUUAAAAU
This 618-nucleotide long non-coding RNA is filed under the name Homo sapiens (human). RNAcentral describes it as "HSALNT0307018". Lineage: Eukaryota; Metazoa; Chordata; Mammalia; Primates; Hominidae. The record is from RNAcentral.